This 73-nucleotide transfer RNA is filed under the name Pteropus alecto (black flying fox). It matches the Rfam family "tRNA". From Rfam's summary of the family: Transfer RNA (tRNA) molecules are approximately 80 nucleotides in length. Lineage: Eukaryota; Metazoa; Chordata; Mammalia; Chiroptera; Pteropodidae. The record is from Rfam by way of RNAcentral.
GGUUCCAUAGUGUAGCGGUUAGCACAUCUGCUUUACACGCAGAAGGUCCUGGGUUCAUGCCGCAGUGGAGCCA